CGAGCGGCAGCGGGAAGUAGCUUGCUACUUUUGCCGGCGAGCGGCGGACGGGUGAGUAAUGCCUGGGAAAUUGCCCAGUCGAGGGGGAUAACAGUUGGAAACGACUGCUAAUACCGCAUACGCCCUACGGGGGAAAGCAGGGGACCUUCGGGCCUUGCGCGAUUGGAUAUGCCCAGGUGGGAUUAGCUUGUUGGUGAGGUAAUGGCUCACCAAGGCGACGAUCCCUAGCUGGUCUGAGAGGAUGAUCAGCCACACUGGAACUGAGACACGGUCCAGACUCCUACGGGAGGCAGCAGUGGGGAAUAUUGCACAAUGGGGGAAACCCUGAUGCAGCCAUGCCGCGUGUGUGAAGAAGGCCUUCGGGUUGUAAAGCACUUUCAGCGAGGAGGAAAGGUUGAUACCUAAUACGUAUCAGCUGUGACGUUACUCGCAGAAGAAGCACCGGCUAACUCCGUGCCAGCAGCCGCGGUAAUAC
This 475-nucleotide ribosomal RNA is filed under the name Aeromonas sp. RNAcentral's name for it is "bacterial SSU rRNA". It matches the Rfam family "Bacterial small subunit ribosomal RNA", at positions 63 to 526 of the family's 1533-position model. The record is from RNAcentral. Lineage: Bacteria; Pseudomonadati; Pseudomonadota; Gammaproteobacteria; Aeromonadales; Aeromonadaceae.